UUCAGUAUUGAUGUAGAUCCUUUUGAGGUAUUUAUGGUAGGCGUUGUCGCUUUCCAGUGGGUUGGUUUGAUGUUUCAGAGGUGAGACCUCGAGGGAGGGACUUUCUUCGUAAGUCUUUGGAUAGAGUACGAGUCAUUUAGGAUAGACUUAGAGCAGCUCAGAGUAGACAUAAGUGUUAUGAUGAUCGUAGACUUCAUACCUUGAGAUUUGGUG
This 213-nucleotide long non-coding RNA is filed under the name Capsicum annuum. Its description in RNAcentral is "long non-coding RNA (CANN_LNC017483)". The record is from RNAcentral. Lineage: Eukaryota; Viridiplantae; Streptophyta; Magnoliopsida; Solanales; Solanaceae.